UACGAAGGGGGCUAGCGUUGCUCGGAAUUACUGGGCGUAAAGGGAGCGUAGGCGGAUAGUUUAGUCAGAGGUGAAAGCCCAGGGCUCAACCUUGGAAUUGCCUUGAUACUGGCUAUCUUGAGUACGGAAGAGGUAUGUGGAACUCCGAGUGUAGAGGUGAAAUUCGUAGAUAUUCGGAAGAGCACCAGUGGCGAAGGCGACAUACUGGUCCGUUACUGACGCUGAGGCUCGAAAGCGUGGGGAGCAAACAGG
This 252-nucleotide ribosomal RNA is filed under the name uncultured bacterium. Its description in RNAcentral is "partial 16S ribosomal RNA". It matches the Rfam family "Bacterial small subunit ribosomal RNA", at positions 524 to 776 of the family's 1533-position model. The record is from RNAcentral.